This 313-nucleotide long non-coding RNA is filed under the name Monodelphis domestica (gray short-tailed opossum). RNAcentral describes it as "lncRNA (ENSMODG00000050391.1)". The record is from RNAcentral. Lineage: Eukaryota; Metazoa; Chordata; Mammalia; Didelphimorphia; Didelphidae.
CUGCAUUUGUUAUUUCCACUUUUCUGCAUCUGGUUGUGAAGUUUUAUGCCCUAGAACAUGGUCAAUCUUUAUAUAUUUACUAUGUGCAGCUGAAAAGAAGUUUUAUUAUAGAUGAGGAACCUGAGUCUGAGAGAGAUUCAGUGAAUUGCCUGUGGACACAAAGAUAAUAAGUGUUAGAGGAGUUACUUGAUCCGAGAGGAAAUAGUCAUGGGAGUUGAAUGAACUGGAGAAGGAUAUGGUCAACUCUGUGCUUUUCUACCUUAAAUUCUACUGAAGGAAUAAAAGAUGUAUACAGGUAAGUAAAUUUAAUCUA